UUGGUUUGUCCUAAGUCAAAUUUGACCAACUUUGACCAAGUUUAUAGAAAAAUAUAACAAUAACUAUACUACCAAACAUAUAUACUAUUAAAACAUAUUACAUGGUCGAUUCAAUGAAACAAAUUUGGUAGAUGUUGUUAUAUUUUUCUAUAAAUUUGGUCAAAGUUGGAUAAGUUUGACUUAGGACAAACCAAA
This 195-nucleotide microRNA precursor is filed under the name Dichanthelium oligosanthes. Its description in RNAcentral is "MIR1435 microRNA precursor family". It matches the Rfam family "MIR1435 microRNA precursor family". Lineage: Eukaryota; Viridiplantae; Streptophyta; Magnoliopsida; Poales; Poaceae. The record is from Rfam by way of RNAcentral.